Non-coding RNA from Leptonychotes weddellii (Weddell seal), 2033 nucleotides. The record is from RefSeq and is a predicted model, not a curated record. NCBI's taxonomy places the organism in Eukaryota, Metazoa, Chordata, Mammalia, Carnivora, Phocidae.
AACAGUUCUUGUUGCUUGUGGUUUUGAUUUUUGCCAUUCUGACCAGUGUGAGGUGGUAUCUCAUGGUAGCUUUAAUUAGCAUUUCGCUGACGAUGACUGAUGUUGAGCAUCUUUUCAUGUGUCUGUUGGCCAUCUGGAUGUCUUUGGAGCAAUGUCUGCUCAUGUCUUCUGUCCAUUUUUUUACAGGAUGAUUUGUUUUUUGGGUUCAACGUCCAACUUUGAACUGUGUGUAUUCUAAACUGUGGUCUGAAGGUCAGUUUCUAGAUAGAGAAGACAAAAUUGACAUUCUGUUUUUUCUGCAUUUUCUUAAUCAUUUAUUAGUUCUGCUGUUUGCUUUAGGCACUGGCCCAACUCCUCUUAGGUUAUUUCAAAAACUUUGUCAGUUUCAUGGUACUGGCACAUUGAGUCAUAAUGUCUUUGUAUUUAUUUGAAUACACGUGUUUGGAGAGAAAAAAUUGUGCUGGUUCCAUAUGCUGACACACUGAUCUGAAGGUCCGGCUGUCCCUUUGAGCAAAGGACCUGACUUGAAAAUGCUCGUAGGCUCUUCCUAGGCCAGGGCUCUCACCGAGGAAAAGGCCAUGUUCAGUUCCAGCAUGAUCAUGAGGCCCAAUGGCAAGAAGCUGGAUGAGCUGGAGUCCAGGCCCUCCUUGAGUUGGAGAGGAACUCGGGCCUCUGAGCCCAUCUAUGGGAGAUGAAUACAACAGCAGCCAAGGAAACUGAAGUUGGCGGUGGUUGGAAGGUUCUUACCAUCUUUGUUGCCAUUCCUCAACUGAAAUCUUUCCAGAACAUCCAAGUCCGGCUAGUCUUUGAAUUGGAGAAAAAGUUCACUGGGAAGCAUGUUGUCUUUAAGGCUCAGAGGAGAAUUCUGCCUCAGCCAACUUGAAAAAAGCCAUACAAAAAACGAGCAAAAGUGUCCCAGGAUCUGUGCUUGGACAGCCGCGCGUGAUGCAAUCCUGGAGGACUUGGUUUUCCCAAGCAAAAUUGUAGGCAAGAGGAUCCACGUGAAGCUGGAUGGCAGUCUGCUCACAAAGGUUCGUUUGGAUAAAGCACAGCAGAGCGACAUAGAGCACAAGGUUGAAACUUUCUGUGUUAUCUGUAAGAAGCUCACCAGCAAGGAUGUUAACUUUGAGUUCCAGAGUUUCCGUGGUAAACAUAAAUGAUGGGGGGUGGGGGGAAGCUCGUAGGUGUCCCUCCUGUUUACCUGAGGCAAAUAUGGUUUUCCGUAUCUCUGGAAUAUAUAAUCAUUCCCCAUCAGAUCUUAACACAGUUCACACCUUAGAAUGAGUCUCAGAUUCUGUAGUGACCUUGAGGAAGUCAUGCAAUCUACCUUGACCUUCUUAUCCCAAGUGUAAAGGGAUUUUCUCUAGAAUUCUCACCUCUAUCCCCCAUAAGAAAGAAUUUCUGCUUUUUAAAAAGUAGUUACUUCAUUCUUUUCAUCAGCAAUAAUCUGAGAAAGAAUGGGAAUUUGGGAUGCAAAGACAGGCAGGAGUGAGCUUUGAGAUGAGUGGUGAUGGGCAGUAUCCCAGAUGAGUCCCAGUGGAACUUUUUGAAGUUCCUCUGCACUCAAGCCCAUAUAAAAGGAGAGCAUUAACUCAGAUGUGUCAGGCACUGAGAUGCGUCCUUCUUUACCUGUGGAGCAGGCUUCGUGCUCACAGUGGUCUGGGAAGGAAGACUACCUGUGAGAAAUGGGGUCAUCAGGAUUAAGUUACUGACUUAGAUCAUACUAGAAUUGGGAACACAGUUUUGGGAAGUUUUUAAAGUUUGACUUCAAGGCCUGUGAUCUUGUUUGUUGUAUCUAUAAUGUGAAUGAAUACUUUAAAAAUUUGCAAAGGUGUGGGGGGGGGUAGGUAAGAAAAUGUUAAAGCCUGUUCAUUGUCUUGCAUGAGGUAUCAAGAAUGGCAGAUAAUAAGAAGGGAAGAGGCAUCAUGGUAUUUCAGAUGGAAAUCUAUUUGGUCCUUAUAUUAGGACAGUGGUGGUCCCAGUGGAUUCUGUUCUUUAUUUUAUUUUACGGUUUUAUUUUUAAGUCGUCUCUA